UUCUGAGUGUAAAGUUGUAUUUCCAGAUUAGUAAUAGUUAUGUUCUUGAAAAUUAAAAGAUUUGGCGGUAUUUUAGUCCAUUCAGAGGAACUUGUCCUGUAAUUGAUAUUCCACGAUUUAAUAUACUUACUUUAAAUAGCUUAUAUAUCGCCGUAGGUUGAAUGUUUUAGAAGAAGAUAAAUAUUCAGAAUGCUUUGAAGGCAGAAAAUCAGGUCAAGAUGUAGUUUAUAGGUAAGAAGAGAUGAGUUACAAUGAUAAUAUUUAAAGGAUUAUUAUUUGAAAUAGUAAUAUAAAGGUGGAUUUGAAGGUAAUUUUAUUAAAAUAAAUAAGAUGAUUUAGGCUCUAAAAUAUGU
Molecule: ribosomal RNA, 353 nt
Filed under: Odoiporus longicollis (banana stem weevil)
Lineage: Eukaryota; Metazoa; Arthropoda; Insecta; Coleoptera; Curculionidae
Description: partial 12S ribosomal RNA
Source: RNAcentral